AGAGUUUGAUCAUGGCUCAGGAUGAACGCUAGCGGCGUGCUUAACACAUGCAAGUCGAACGAUUGAAGCUGGAGCUUGCUCCGGCUGAUUUAGUGGCGGACGGGUGAGUAACGCGUGGGUAACCUGCCUCAUACAGGGGGAUAGCAGUUGGAAACGACUGGUAAAACCGCAUAAGCGCACGGUGUCGCAUGACACAGUGUGAAAACACUCCGGUGGUAUGAGAUGGACCCGCGU
RNAcentral lists this ribosomal RNA (234 nucleotides) under uncultured bacterium. RNAcentral describes it as "partial 16S ribosomal RNA". It matches the Rfam family "Bacterial small subunit ribosomal RNA", at positions 8 to 236 of the family's 1533-position model. The record is from RNAcentral.